This 73-nucleotide transfer RNA is filed under the name Nanobdellota archaeon. RNAcentral describes it as "tRNA-Gln". It matches the Rfam family "tRNA". From Rfam's summary of the family: Transfer RNA (tRNA) molecules are approximately 80 nucleotides in length. Their secondary structure includes four short double-helical elements and three loops (D, anti-codon, and T loops). The record is from RNAcentral. Lineage: Archaea; Nanobdellati; Nanobdellota.
AGCCCCAUAGUACAGUGGUCAAGUAUGGCUGGUUCUGGGCCAGCUGACGCAGGUUCGAAUCCUGCUGGGGCUA